AACAAAGGACAAAAUCACAACAACGUGCUACAGAGAGCAGACUAUAGCCGUGCUACAGAGAGCAGACUUACUUUCUUUAUUAAUUGCAACAUAUCUUUUUAUUAAACAUAUAAUGUAAAUAUAUCUUUAUGGUAACUUAUUAUAUUUUUUAUUGCUUUUUUUUUACAUUUUAAUAUGUUAAAAUAGCUUUUUAUGGUUGUCAUGAUAUUAGUGCAUAAGAUGACCACGUAGGUUUUUU
RNAcentral lists this long non-coding RNA (238 nucleotides) under Gossypium barbadense (sea-island cotton). Its description in RNAcentral is "long non-coding RNA (GBAR_LNC020764)". The record is from RNAcentral. Lineage: Eukaryota; Viridiplantae; Streptophyta; Magnoliopsida; Malvales; Malvaceae.